This 392-nucleotide ribosomal RNA is filed under the name uncultured eukaryote. RNAcentral describes it as "SSU rRNA". It matches the Rfam family "Eukaryotic small subunit ribosomal RNA", at positions 587 to 972 of the family's 1831-position model. The record is from RNAcentral.
AGCUCCAAUAGCGUAUAUUAAAAUUGCUGCAGUUAAAAAGCUCGUAGUUGGAUUUCUGGUGUGGUGCGCCGAGCCCGCCGUCGUUUAGGCGGUGAGUGCUUGUUGUGCGCCUACCAUCCUUCCGGAGAGCACAGCCUACCCUUAACUGGGCCGGGUUGCGCGAUCUGGAUCGUUUACUUUGAAAAAAUUAGAGUGUUUAAAGCAGGCGUUUGCUGUGAAUACAUUAGCAUGGAAUAAUAAGAUAGGACUUUGGCUCUAUUUUGUUGGUUUCUAGGACUGAAGUAAUGAUUGAUAGGGACAGUUGGGGGUGCUAGUAUUUAACGGCCAGAGGUGAAAUUCUUGGAUUCGUUAAAGACUAACUUAUGCGAAAGCAUUCACCAAGGAUGUCUUCU